Long non-coding RNA from Polistes canadensis, 925 nucleotides. RefSeq lists it as uncharacterized. The record is from RefSeq and is a predicted model, not a curated record. The transcript has 2 exons. NCBI's taxonomy places the organism in Eukaryota, Metazoa, Arthropoda, Insecta, Hymenoptera, Vespidae.
GAGAGAGAAAGAAAUACAGAUGAAAGAAGGAAAUAGAAGAUGAUUCAAUUUACACGGAUAAGAUUUUUUUCGUAACCAAUAAGUGAUCGAAAACGUCGCUUUAAAACGCAGGAGGUAUCAUCCCGUACGUAAACCUCGGCAAAGCAGCAAGCAAAGUUUGCAAGGUUGAGGCACACCAAAACCAGAAAAACCGGCCCCUCCCUUUCUCUCCUUUCUCUCGUUCUCUCCUCCAACAUCUCAGAGUUGACUUCGAGGAGUCGCAGCAAAUAUCCAGCAUUCGCAUAGCUAUUGGUUACCAUGGUAACAGCGCCACUGCAGCCGCCGUUGUUGCCGCGUACUACGGCGCAUGCUUAAACAAAACAAACUCGGUGGAGGGGGUAACUGAGUCACGAUUUCAUUCGAUUUCAUCCGAAAUCGUCCGAGGAGCCUUACGUACGUAGUGCGUGCCCCCAUGGGUUUGACCGUUAAAAGGUUAAAAAGAGAAAAAGAUAAAAGAGAGAGAGAGAAGACUAACACAAUAAGAGAAGAGUAGAAUAAUGAAAAAGAGAGAGAGAGAAGAAGAACCAGAGAAAUUGGUUAAGUAUAUUAUACGCGUGCGCAUUGGAAAAGGAUAGAGAGAAAGAGAUCGUGGGACGUCAUUGGUAGUAGUGACGCGUUCCGUAAGGGGGAGAUGGUAUAGUCGCGUCAUAAAAGUGGGGGGACGGAAUCUCCCCUUGCAAGCAGAAGCAACGAACAGUUUCUCGGCUCCCGACACGGGUACCCUGCAGUCGACGAGUUAGUUCUCUAGAGUAAAAGAGGGAGAGAAAGUCUAGUAGUAGUAUAUACGAGAGAGAGAGAGAGAGAAAGAGAGGGGGAGAAAAAAAAAGAAAGAAAGAGACGACUCUACCAGACGAGUCGGAGAAGAAACGAAAGAGAGAGAGAGAGA